UAACUGAAGAGUUUGAUCAUGGCUCAGAUUGAACGCUGGCGGCAGGCUUAACACAUGCAAGUCGAGCGGGGGAAGGUAGCUUGCUACUGGACCUAGCGGCGGACGGGUGAGUAAUGCUUAGGAAUCUGCCUAUUAGUGGGGGACAACAUCUCGAAAGGGAUGCUAAUACCGCAUACGUCCUACGGGAGAAAGCAGGGGAUCUUCGGACCUUGCGCUAAUAGAU
RNAcentral lists this ribosomal RNA (223 nucleotides) under Acinetobacter baumannii. RNAcentral describes it as "partial 16S ribosomal RNA". It matches the Rfam family "Bacterial small subunit ribosomal RNA", at positions 1 to 226 of the family's 1533-position model. The record is from RNAcentral. Lineage: Bacteria; Pseudomonadati; Pseudomonadota; Gammaproteobacteria; Moraxellales; Moraxellaceae.